Molecule: long non-coding RNA, 727 nt
Filed under: Brassica napus (rape)
Lineage: Eukaryota; Viridiplantae; Streptophyta; Magnoliopsida; Brassicales; Brassicaceae
Description: long non-coding RNA (BNAP_LNC014929)
Source: RNAcentral
CUAUAUUUUCUUGCUCUAGAGUUAAAAGACUUUAAGUUUUUAGACGUGGUUUUAUUUUAUUUUAUUUCUGUAAAAUUAUUUCCAAAAAUAUUUAAAACACUCAUUAAAGCUGUACAAAAAUUAAUUUUCAGAGCUAAUUAUUUACCUUUACAGCUGUAGAUUCCCUUUUUAAAGUUAAAUCAUAAUUGUACAGGUUCUUAAAACUCUGCCAAUAAACUCCAGUGUUCUUUUUUUUUACAACAAAAUAACUACUUAACUAAGAAACCGCCGAAUUGAAUAGCCAAACCGGAGGUUCGGCGGUAAAGAAUCAACAUAUAACAUAGUUGAAAGAGAAUUCUUCUCACCACGUGCAAGCUUGUCCGCCAUUGUAUUUUGUGCCUUCGGAAUAUGUCGGAUCUUGAAAUUACGGAAGAAAAUCUUACUGCGGUAAAAUUUUUCCGUGUAGUAAAAACUGACCAUUCUUCAGGUGAUGACUCUAUCUUCACCAAUUGAGAACAAUCUGUCGCAAAUACUACAUCUGAAAACUGCAUGGUCUUCGUACACUCCAUCUUCACUGGUGUUCUUUUAUCAAAAUUUACAUUAUUGUGUGUUUAAUUAAGUUAUUGUUAUAAUAUAAGUAAGGAAGUAUAACUGAUUUAUUUAUUAUAUAUUAUUAUUCUAUUGUUUUGUGUUUGGUAAAAGAAGAAGUUGGACGUGAGAGAGAAUAAAGAGUGAUGUUGAUUAUUCA